RNAcentral lists this ribosomal RNA (497 nucleotides) under uncultured bacterium. RNAcentral's name for it is "partial 16S ribosomal RNA". It matches the Rfam family "Bacterial small subunit ribosomal RNA", at positions 28 to 507 of the family's 1533-position model. The record is from RNAcentral.
GAUGAACGCUGGCGGCGUGCCUAAUACAUGCAAGUCGAGCGAACAGACGAGGAUCUUGCUCCUCUUACGUUAGCGGCGGACGGGUGAGUAACACGUGGCUAACCUACCUAUAAGACUGGGAUAACUUCGGGAAACCGGAUCUAAUACCGGAUAAUAUAUUGAACCGCAUGGUUCAAUAGUGCAAGCCGGUUUUGCUGUCACUUAUUGAUGUAUCCGCGCCGCAUUAGCUAGUUGGUAAGGUAACGGCUUACCAAGGCGACGAUGCGUAGCCGACCUGAGAGGGUGAUCGGCCACACUGGAACUGAGACACGGUCCAGACUCCUACGGGAGGCAGCAGUAGGGAAUAUUCCGCAAUGGGCGAAAGCCUGACGGAGCAACGCCGCGUGAGUGAUGAAGGUCUUCGGAUCGUAAAACUCUGUUAUUAGGGAAGAACAAAUGUGUAAGUAACUAUGCACGUCUUGACGGUACCUAAUCAGAAAGCCACGGCUAACUACGUG